Small nucleolar RNA from Lactuca sativa (garden lettuce), 107 nucleotides. NCBI's taxonomy places the organism in Eukaryota, Viridiplantae, Streptophyta, Magnoliopsida, Asterales, Asteraceae. The record is from RefSeq and is a predicted model, not a curated record.
AGAUCAUUUUGUGGACAAUUUCUUAUUAACCCUAUGUAUCGCUCCCAAGCCUCGUACAAAGACUCACCCACUUGUUGCUCAAAAUUAGCUAUGGCUUUCUUGAGCUU